Molecule: ribosomal RNA, 261 nt
Filed under: uncultured bacterium
Lineage: Bacteria
Description: partial 16S ribosomal RNA
Rfam family: Bacterial small subunit ribosomal RNA
Source: RNAcentral
GUCCACGCCGUAAACGUUGGGCACUAGGUGUGGGACCUCUCAACGGGUUCCGUGCCGUAGCUAACGCAGUAAGUGCCCCGCCUGGGGAGUACGGUCGCAAGACUAAAACUCAAAGGAAUUGACGGGGGCCCGCACAAGCGGCGGAGCAUGUUGCUUAAUUCGAUGCAACGCGAAGAACCUUACCUGGGCUUGACAUGUACGGAAAAGCUGCAGAGAUGUGGUGUCCUUCGGGCCGGUACACAGGUGGUGCAUGGCUGUCGU